GAUGAACGCUGGCGGCGUGCCUAAUACAUGCAAGUCGAGCGAAUGGAUUAAGAGCUUGCUCUUAUGAAGUUCGCGGCGUACGGGUGAGUAACACGUGGGUAACCUGCCCAUAAGACUGGGAUAACUCCGGGAAACCGGGGCUAAUACCGGAUAACAUUUUGAACCGCAUGGUUCGAAAUUGAAAGGCGGCGUCGGCUGCCACUCUUGGAUGGACCCGCGUCGCAUUAGCUAGUUGGUGAGGUAACGGCUCACCAAGGCAACGAUGCGUAGCCGACCUGGGAGGGUGAUCGGCCACACUGGGACUGAGACACGGCCCAGACUCCUCCGGGAGGCAGCAGUAGGGAAGCUUCCGCAAUGGACGAAAGUCUGACGGAGCAACGCCGCGUGAGUGAUGAAGGCUUUCGGGUCGUAAAACUCUGUUGUUAGGGAAGAACAAGUGCUAGUUGAAUAAGCUGGCACCUUGACGGUACCUAACCAGAAAGCCACGGCUAACUACGUGCCAGCCGCCGCAGUAA
Molecule: ribosomal RNA, 515 nt
Filed under: uncultured bacterium
Lineage: Bacteria
Description: partial 16S ribosomal RNA
Rfam family: Bacterial small subunit ribosomal RNA
Source: RNAcentral